This 467-nucleotide ribosomal RNA is filed under the name uncultured bacterium. RNAcentral describes it as "partial 16S ribosomal RNA". It matches the Rfam family "Bacterial small subunit ribosomal RNA", at positions 29 to 507 of the family's 1533-position model. The record is from RNAcentral.
ACGAACGCUGGCGGCGUGCUUAACCCAUGCCAGUCGCACGGAAAGGCCCUGCUUUUGUGGGGUGCUCGAGUGGCGAACGGGUGAGUAACACGUGAGUAACCUUCCCUUGACUUUGGGAUAACUUCAGGAAACUGGGGCUAAUACCGGAUAGGAGCUCCUGCUGCAUGGUGGGGGUUGGAAAGUUUCGGCGGUUGGGGAUGGACUCGCGGCUUAUCAGCUUGUUGGUGGGGUAGUGGCUUACCAAGGCUUUGACGGGUAGCCGGCCUGAGAGGGUGACCGGCCACAUUGGGACUGAGAUACGGCCCAGACUCCUACGGGAGGCAGCAGUGGGGAAUAUUGCACAAUGGGCGGAAGCCUGAUGCAGCAACGCCGCGUGCGGGAUGACGGCCUUCGGGCUGUAAACCGCUUUCGCCUGUGACGAAGCGUGAGUGACGGUAAUGGGUAAAGAAGCACCGGCUAACUACGUG